Molecule: ribosomal RNA, 254 nt
Filed under: uncultured bacterium
Lineage: Bacteria
Description: partial 16S ribosomal RNA
Rfam family: Bacterial small subunit ribosomal RNA
Source: RNAcentral
GACGUAGGGAGCGAGCGUUGUCCGGAUUCAUUGGGCGUAAAGGGUCCGUAGGCGGCUCAGCAAGUCGGGUGUGAAAUCUCCAGGCUCAACCUGGAGGGGCCACUCGAUACUGCUGUGGCUUGAGUCCAGUAGGGGAGCAUGGAAUUCCCGGUGUAGCGGUGAAAUGCGCAGAUAUCGGGAGGAACACCAGUGGCGAAGGCGGUGCUCUGGGCUGGAGCUGACGCUGAUGGACGAAAGCGUGGGUAGCAAACAGG